GCGGGUGUGGCGGAAUUGGCAGACGCGCGAGGUUUAGGUCCUCGUAUCCGCAAGGAUGUGGAGGUUCGAGUCCUCUCACCCGUA
Molecule: transfer RNA, 84 nt
Filed under: Planctomycetota bacterium
Lineage: Bacteria; Pseudomonadati; Planctomycetota
Description: Planctomycetes bacterium tRNA-Leu
Rfam family: tRNA
About the family: Transfer RNA (tRNA) molecules are approximately 80 nucleotides in length. Their secondary structure includes four short double-helical elements and three loops (D, anti-codon, and T loops).
Source: RNAcentral